CCUACGGGAGGCAGCAGUGAGGAAUAUUGGUCAAUGGACGAGAGUCUGAACCAGCCAAGUAGCGUGAAGGAUGACUGCCCUAUGGAUUGUAAACUUCUUUUAUAUGGGAAUAAAAUGUUCCACGUGUGGGAUUUUGUAUGUACAAUAUGAAUAAGGCACGGCUAACUCCGUGCCAGCAGCCGCGGUAAUACGGAGGAUCCGAGCGUUAUCCGGAUUUAUUGGGUUUAAAGGGAGCGUAGGUGGAUUGUUAAGUCCGUUGUGAAAGUUUGCGGCUCAACCGUAAAAUUGCAGUUGAAACUGGCAGUCUUGAGUACAGUAGAGGUGGGCGGAAUUCGUGGUGUAGCGGUGAAAUGCUUAGAUAUCACGAAGAACUCCGAUUGCGAAGGCAGCUCACUGGACUGCAACUGACACUGAGGCUCGAAAGUGUGGGUAGCAAACAGGAUUAGAUACCCCUGUAGUC
RNAcentral lists this ribosomal RNA (460 nucleotides) under uncultured bacterium. RNAcentral's name for it is "partial 16S ribosomal RNA". It matches the Rfam family "Bacterial small subunit ribosomal RNA", at positions 338 to 795 of the family's 1533-position model. The record is from RNAcentral.